UGCCUACGGGGCGCAGCAGUGAGGAAUAUUGGUCAAUGGCCGGAAGGCUGAACCAGCCAAGCCGCGUGAAGGACGAAGGUGCCAAGCAUUGUAAACUUCUUUUGUCAAGGGACAAAAUCAGGCUCGAGAGCCUGACCGAGGGUACUUGAAGAAAAAGCAUCGGCUAACUACGUGCCAGCAGCCGCGGUAAUACGUAGGGGGCAAGCGUUAUCCGGAUUUACUGGGUGUAAAGGGAGCGUAGGUGGCAUGGUAAGCCAGAAGUGAAAACCCAGGGCUCAACUCUGUGGAUUGCUUUUGGAACUAUC
Molecule: ribosomal RNA, 305 nt
Filed under: uncultured bacterium
Lineage: Bacteria
Description: bacterial SSU rRNA
Rfam family: Bacterial small subunit ribosomal RNA
Source: RNAcentral